Molecule: long non-coding RNA, 279 nt
Filed under: Elaeis guineensis (African oil palm)
Lineage: Eukaryota; Viridiplantae; Streptophyta; Magnoliopsida; Arecales; Arecaceae
Description: long non-coding RNA (EGUI_LNC034611)
Source: RNAcentral
AGGAGAGAUUAGGAAAAAAAAACAUGUUUUUUGAUAAUAAUUUAUCAAACACCUUGUGAAUAGCUGUCAGAUCAGAGCAGUCGAUAGCACAUACAAAAAAGAGUAUUUUGCACAAAGAAGUCAGCAUUGAAAUCACUAGUGGUAAGGGCGUAAGUGCUUUGCAAAGAGAGUGCAUGGCAAUGCAAGCCUUAAGAAGGGUGGAGAAGGUGAACAAUAAAAGUGAAAGAAGAGCCGGUGGUGGCACAUGCCAGUAUAGAGGAGAAUGUAGACGAUGCUAGU